GCAAACUUGGUCAUUUAGAGGAAGUAAAAGUCGUAACAAGGUCUCCGUUGGUGAACCAGCGGAGGGAUCAUUACCGAGUUUACAACUCCCAAACCCAAUGUGAACGUUACCAAACUGUUGCCUCGGCGGGAUCUUCUGCCCCGGGUGCGUCGCAGCCCCGGACCAAGGCGCCCGCCGGAGGACCAACCCCAAAACUCUUUUUUGUAUACCCCCUCGCGGGUUUUUUUUAUAUAUCUGAGCCAUCUCGGCGCCUCUCGUAGGCGUUUCGAAAAUGAAUCAAAACUUUCAACAACGGAUCUCUUGGUUCUGGCAUCGAUGAAGAACGCAGC
RNAcentral lists this unclassified non-coding RNA (329 nucleotides) under uncultured fungus. Its description in RNAcentral is "partial contains small subunit ribosomal RNA, internal transcribed spacer 1, and 5.8S ribosomal RNA". The stretch from base 1 to 73 matches the Rfam family "Eukaryotic small subunit ribosomal RNA", at positions 1759 to 1831 of the family's 1831-position model. Lineage: Eukaryota; Fungi. The record is from RNAcentral.